UAAACGGCCCUUUUCAGGGCCACUCCGCAAAAAUAAUACGAACAAA
Molecule: non-coding RNA, 46 nt
Organism: Lasius niger
Lineage: Eukaryota; Metazoa; Arthropoda; Insecta; Hymenoptera; Formicidae
Source: Rfam